UACGGGGGGGGCAAGCGUUGUUCGGAAUUACUGGGCGUAAAGGGCUCGUAGGUGGCCAACUAAGUCAGACGUGAAAUCCCUCAGCUUAACUGGGGAACUGCGUCUGAUACCGGAUGGCUUGAGUUUGGGAGAGGGAUGCGGAAUUCCAGGUGUAGCGGUGAAAUGCGUAGAUAUCUGGAGGAACACCGGUGGCGAAGGCGGCAUCCUGGACCGGUAUUGACGCUGAUGCGCGAAAGCCAGGGGAGCAAACGGG
This 253-nucleotide ribosomal RNA is filed under the name uncultured bacterium. RNAcentral describes it as "partial 16S ribosomal RNA". It matches the Rfam family "Bacterial small subunit ribosomal RNA", at positions 524 to 776 of the family's 1533-position model. The record is from RNAcentral.